RNAcentral lists this ribosomal RNA (483 nucleotides) under uncultured Bacteroidota bacterium. RNAcentral's name for it is "bacterial SSU rRNA". It matches the Rfam family "Bacterial small subunit ribosomal RNA", at positions 377 to 860 of the family's 1533-position model. Lineage: Bacteria; Pseudomonadati; Bacteroidota. The record is from RNAcentral.
CGAGACCUGAUCCAGCCUGCCGCGUGCAGGAAGACUGCCCUAUGGGUUGUAAACUGCUUUUAUACAGGAAGAAUAAGCCUUACGUGUAAGGUGAUGACGGUACUGUAAGAAUAAGGACCGGCUAACUCCGUGCCAGCAGCCGCGGUAAUACGGAGGGUCCGAGCGUUAUCCGGAAUUAUUGGGUUUAAAGGGUCCGUAGGCGGAUGAUUAAGUCAGGGGUGAAAGUUUGCAGCUCAACUGUAAAAUUGCCUUUGAUACUGGUCAUCUUGAGUUGUAUUGAAGUAGGCGGAAUAUGUAGUGUAGCGGUGAAAUGCAUAGAUAUUACAUAGAACACCAAUUGCGAAGGCAGCUUACUAAGUACUAACUGACGCUGAUGGACGAAAGCGUGGGUAGCGAACAGGAUUAGAUACCCUGGUAGUCCCGCCGUAAACGAUGGAUACUAGCUGUUCGGGACCUUGAGUUCUGAGCGCUAAGCGAAAGUGA